UAUAUUGCUCAUCAUAACCACUGAAAACUGUCAAAAAAUCUAACCCAAAGUCCAAAUAUUAUGGACGUUAUCUGACACUAAGCGUUGCUGCUCCAUUAAGGGUAUUCUAAGGACAAAACUUAACGUGAAAACAGCUUUGUUAGAAAGCCUGUCCCCCCCCCCCUCUGCAGGUGGAUGGCCAUACUGCAGUCUGAUGUCGGUGGAGUGAGCGCCACUGUGCUCUGAUAUCUGUUUAGAGACUUUUAAAUAGCGGACUUUUCCUUAUUCCUUCUCUCCAUUCUGUCUGGUUUGUGUGUCCGUGAGGAAAACACCACAAGCUCAAACUACCAAACUAAACUCUGUUAACCAGACAUAGGCCUACUUCCUCUGGAGCCUGAGUCCAUAUCUGCCGCCUCAACCACUGAAAUCACAUCUCUCCGUUUCAAGCCUAACGUGGUUUAAUGUACCUAAACAACGAUCAAUAAAAGCCAAAAAAUUGACAAUGACUUCAAUGCUUUAUUCUAUGCAGCUCCACCAAAUGAAUGAACUGGACAAGUUAAGUUUGUGCUACUGACUGUGUUAAGACCCUGAACUGUUUGACCUCAGCUCCACCAAAUGAAUGAACUGGACAAGUGAAGUUUGUGCUACUGACUGUGUUAAGACCCUGAACUGUUUGGCCUCAGCAGCCAGCAUGGCCCGUUGUGUGACUCUAGAUUGGAAGCUGCGUCGGGCUCUCGCCCUCGCCGCACGCAAUGUCCCCCAAGUUGAAGAGGUAGAAGAGGACACAGAAGAACAAAAGGACCUGCACAUUCAAAAACACCACCUCCAGACCCAAAAUUCAGCGAGGAUGAUUUGUGCCGUCAUACGUUACUGAGCGUCCUCCUCCCCCCCAGGGGACCAGGUCCAGGAGGCUGGAAACGCCAGCGCUGCUCCA
This is an RNA transcript of Perca fluviatilis (European perch), 913 nucleotides long. It is a transcript of the gene named WAS/WASL-interacting protein family member 3-like, with no coding region annotated. NCBI's taxonomy places the organism in Eukaryota, Metazoa, Chordata, Actinopteri, Perciformes, Percidae. The record is from RefSeq and is a predicted model, not a curated record. The transcript is spliced from 5 exons.